UUUAUACUUCCUUCGUUUUAAAAUUCUUGUCUUACGUUUGUCUAGAAAUGGAUGUAUAAUAUACAUCCAUUUCUAGACAAACGUAAGACAAGAAUUUUGGGACGGAGAAAGUACUAA
This is a non-coding RNA of Hordeum vulgare subsp. vulgare (domesticated barley), 117 nucleotides long. The record is from Rfam. Lineage: Eukaryota; Viridiplantae; Streptophyta; Magnoliopsida; Poales; Poaceae.